RNAcentral lists this long non-coding RNA (2704 nucleotides) under Triticum aestivum (bread wheat). RNAcentral describes it as "long non-coding RNA (TAES_LNC009788)". Lineage: Eukaryota; Viridiplantae; Streptophyta; Magnoliopsida; Poales; Poaceae. The record is from RNAcentral.
UUUGAUCUGGUAUGUAACACCUUGUUCGUUGGUGAAAAAGUGCAAAUUUAUCCGAAUUGUGCUGCUAAAACAAAGUUCUUGAUAUGAGCUACCUAUAAUCAUCUAGCGCGGCUUAUAUAAUUUUUUGACAGUAAGACUCAUGGCACAGAAUAGAUCUAAUACCUCUGUUUGAACAAGAAGCAAUAGAGAAUUAAUUUGCUAGAUUUGAAAAGCACAACCCGGUAUUUUAGUGUUUGGUGAAUUGAUAGCAUCAUCACAAACACCAUACAGAUAGAGGUUUUUUGUCUAAUUAGUCAAUUAACAACAUACAUGAACAGAUACACUGGGUGAAGUAUGUGUGCAUCACCCCUCUAUCUAAUACUCAUCGCAAGCACCAAAAUAAAUUAUCUUAGUUUUGUACAGAAAUCCCAACUGAUGAAGCGAGGAUAAAUUCCAAAAGCCAGUGUUGGCAGGAACUCCUAAACCACUAACCUGAAAAAAGCAUAUACAUAUAGAGAUGAGAGCCGAAAAAUCCUUGGUCAAAAUCAGUAGCAAAACUGUACAAGUACCUCUUUUCCAACGUAAUAACACAACCAUCACCUUUUGGAAUUGAUAAAUAACGCAUGCAAGAUUUCACAUUUGGAAAGACCAUUGGCCUAACACAGGUUGAUUUUGUGCAUCUUAGUCUUCCUAUAAUAGCUAAAAAAGGGUCAAAUGUUGAUCUAUCGCUGCGAAAGGAACGUGGUUCUUCUAUGAUACUCAAAAACUCAAGACCUCAGUUGUGGCUAUCCACAAAUAAUAAGUUUUGGGCCAUAAAUAAAUAGAAUGUAGUGUUUAUCAUGUGAAAUGGCAAGUGGAAGUUCUUUAUAUUGAAAGUCGGGAGGGGGGGACCCGAGUAUUGUGGUGACUAAAUUAGCUACAGAAUAUGACCCAAGCUACCACAUUAGUGUAUGCCUAAAGAAUAGAUCUGAAAACAAAGGAUGAUGAAGUCAAGUGUGACAUACAGAUCAUAUAUCAAUACCUAAUAUCUUAUUAUCAUAAUGCAUCCCAAUCCAUGAUAAUCCCAACAACAGUUCAAGAAAAUGGCAAUCCUGUGUAGAUAGUAUAAACAUACCCACUUCACUGUAUAUUUAAUAUCAUGUGUUCAGCAUAUCAGUACCCAAUAAGGCCAACAAACCUACAUUAGAUUUCUUUAGUAUAAGAGCAGAUUUUGCGAAGCUUCUUAAAAAUGUGAUAAUGCCUCAACGGCUGAGCGCCCUACUUUUGGCAACCUUGUUCAAAGAAUUAAAAAUGAUUCAUUUUACUUUUAUAGGAGAGAAAACUAUCACAAAAGGAACACUAAAUACCUAAAAAUGAUGUAGUUCUGCAACAAUCAUCAAGCUGUAGCAUUUCCUCUGUAUGUCAGCUAUUCAGCACAUCAUGUGUUUAUUUCUUUAACAUCGGCCAUGGGGUAGAUGGAGGGGACCGGCAGCCGGAGCGAACCUGGGGAAGGAUGAGGGGAGCCUAUUAGGAUGGAGAGCAGCAGGGCAGCGAGCUAUUCGCCACCAGCUGCAGGUUUGCCCCCUUGGACCACACAAAGGACACCGCUGUUUAUCUGUGCCUUCAGGCCAGGGAGCCGGAACCGAGGAAGAUCCAUGAGGAGGCGAUGGUACGCAGCUCUCCUGAUUCAUGUUGUUGCCUGCACGCACCUCUCGGCCGGCCAGCCGGAGCGGCGACGUAGCGCGCCGUGGUAUCUCGGGUGGAGGCUGGAGGGCAGUAUCAGGAGAGAUGGGUCUAUUGGUGAGGAGCGGUUUGGGCACAGCCGUGACAUGAGAGACCCACGCCACGGGGGGCUUUUUAUACGCACAUAGAUCGGUAGAGCCACGACACGGGAUUGAACCAGAAUUUUUGGGAGAGAUAGAGAUAGCCCAGUCAAAGCGGUGGGCGGUCAAAGAGGUGGAGGUCACGAACGCUCUAGAGAGAACAGAGAAGAUCGUUACGUUCACACGUAAGUAGUUCUCGUGCGUCCCUGGUAACACGCGUAAAUCAUUAGAGGCAGUAAAAAAUCCAAAAAACCCAGGUAAAUCAUACCCUGACGGGCCUAAUCUUCUUAGUAUAAAUGAACACAAAAGCACCAACAAUUAUAUGUAUAUUCUCAUCCCACAACAGCUAAAAGUACCCAGCUCUGAUUCAUACUGCUAGCGAACAAAUUAAGAGGUGCUUCAGAUUUUCUAACUAUUUAAGUAUGUUAUGGGACCCAUGCUCAUCGUAUAAUUGAAAUAAAACCUUAGGAUACCCUAGAGUAUUGUAGUCUCUUAAGUCACAAUAAAGCAGAUGGCCUUAGCAUACCUUGUCACCCACAGCCAUGUAACACUUGAUUCCCAGCAGAUGCUUCUACCAACUAAUCAAUGCGGUGAUAAAGAUUUAACAUUAGUGAAGAGGAGAUAAACCUUCACCUGAGCUUGAAGAAAGAAAAUAGAAUAGGCUCACCUUUGAUCUGCAAUAGCACUUCCUCAAUCAUGCAGUACACAAAACAACUUCUAGUUCAUCGGUGAGCAAACGUACUAAAGCUCCUCAAAAUAUGAAAAUGUUGAAUUUUGGAGGGGAAAUGUGAGUGUUGCCCCUGGAAUUGUGAUCAGCCGUACUAUCAGAUAUUGCCAUACUGGCAUAGCUUGCUAUAUGAGUUGUAGCGAUGAAACAACCUGUUCAUGGUGGUGUACAGUUGUGCCGCCUACACAAGAUCAAA